RNAcentral lists this ribosomal RNA (1277 nucleotides) under Kocuria palustris. Its description in RNAcentral is "bacterial SSU rRNA". It matches the Rfam family "Bacterial small subunit ribosomal RNA", at positions 37 to 1350 of the family's 1533-position model. Lineage: Bacteria; Bacillati; Actinomycetota; Actinomycetes; Micrococcales; Micrococcaceae. The record is from RNAcentral.
CCGUGGGGGGUGUCAAUGCAGUCGACGCUGAAGCACCAGCUUGCUGGUGUGGAUGAGUGGCGAACGGGUGAGUAAUACGUGAGUAACCUGCCCUUGACUCUGGGAUAAGCCCGGGAAACUGGGUCUAAUACUGGAUGCUACAUGUCACCGCAUGGUGGUGUGUGGAAAGGGUUUACUGGUCUUGGAUGGGCUCACGGCCUAUCAGCUUGUUGGUGAGGUAAUGGCUCACCAAGGCGACGACGGGUAGCCGGCCUGAGAGGGUGACCGGCCACACUGGGACUGAAACACGGCCCAAACUCCUACGGGAGGCAGCAGUGGGGAAUAUUGCACAAUGGGCGAAAGCCUGAUGCAGCGACGCCGCGUGAGGGAUGACGGCCUUCGGGUUGUAAACCUCUUUCAGCAGGGAAGAAGCCACAAGUGACGGUACCUGCAGAAGAAGCGCCGGCUAACUACGUGCCAGCAGCCGCGGUAAUACGUAGGGCGCAAGCGUUGUCCGGAAUUAUUGGGCGUAAAGAGCUCGUAGGCGGUUUGUCGCGUCUGCUGUGAAAGCCCGGGGCUUAACCCCGGGUGUGCAGUGGGUACGGGCAGACUAGAGUGCAGUAGGGGAGACUGGAAUUCCUGGUGUAGCGGUGGAAUGCGCAGAUAUCAGGAGGAACACCGAUGGCGAAGGCAGGUCUCUGGGCUGUUACUGACGCUGAGGAGCGAAAGCAUGGGGAGCGAACAGGAUUAGAUACCCUGGUAGUCCAUGCCGUAAACGUUGGGCACUAGGUGUGGGGGACAUUCCACGUUUUCCGCGCCGUAGCUAACGCAUUAAGUGCCCCGCCUGGGGAGUACGGCCGCAAGGCUAAAACUCAAAGGAAUUGACGGGGGCCCGCACAAGCGGCGGAGCAUGCGGAUUAAUUCGAUGCAACGCGAAGAACCUUACCAAGGCUUGACAUAUACCGGAUCGUUCCAGAGAUGGUUCUUCCCCUUUGGGGUCGGUAUACAGGUGGUGCAUGGUUGUCGUCAGCUCGUGUCGUGAGAAUGUUGGGUUAAGUCCCGCAACGAGCGCAACCCUCGUUCCAUGUUGCCAGCACGUGAUGGUGGGACUCAUGGAGAACUGCGGAUCAACUCGAAGAAGGUGGGAAGACGUCAAAUCAUCAUGCCCCUUAUGUCUUGGCUCACGCAUGCUAAAUGACGUUACAAGUGCAAUCUGGUGAGGUGGAGACUUAAUCAAGCCGUCAGUCAGAAUGAGUCUGCAACUCGAAACUUAUAGGAAUCGAAUUCCCCUGAGUAUC